CUGAUGAUGAUACCCACAUCCGUACGGUCU
RNAcentral lists this small RNA (30 nucleotides) under Bombyx mori (domestic silkworm). RNAcentral describes it as "ovarian small RNA-14884". The record is from RNAcentral. Lineage: Eukaryota; Metazoa; Arthropoda; Insecta; Lepidoptera; Bombycidae.